UACCUUUUGCAUCAUGAUUUAGCCAGAAAAUCUCAAGCAAAGAGCACUUUAGUUUGAUUCCCGGAAACUACGUGAGCUACUCCAAGACAGCCUAACAUAGGGCAAACCCGUCUCUGUGGCAAAAGAGUGGGAAGAGCUUUGAGUAGAGGUGACAGACCUACCGAACCUAGUUAUAGCUGGUUGCCUGAGAAAUGAAUAGAAGUUCAGCCUAUCGGAUUCUUCCCUCACCUUUAUAUUUUUUACAACAACCAAAAGAAACCGAAAGAGUUAGUCAAAGGGGGUACAGCCCCUUUGACACAAGACACAACUUUUCCAGGAGGGUAAAGAUCAUACUCAAACACCAAGGUAAGAUGUUUUGGUGGGCCUAAAAGCAGCCACCCCUACAGAAUGCGUUAAAGCUCAAACAUACCUACCACCCAUAAUCCUGACAACCCUAUCUUAACCCCCUAACCCUACCAGGCCAUCCCAUGCAAACAUGGGAGUGACCAUGCUAAUAUGAGUAAUUAGAGAGCAUUAGCCUCUCUCCCUGCACAAGU
Molecule: ribosomal RNA, 536 nt
Filed under: Miichthys miiuy (Mi-iuy croaker)
Lineage: Eukaryota; Metazoa; Chordata; Actinopteri; Sciaenidae
Description: partial 16S ribosomal RNA
Rfam family: Bacterial large subunit ribosomal RNA
Source: RNAcentral